ACGCACCUGCAGAGGGUGCAGCCGGCUCCAUAAAAAGAUCGUGCAGGUGAUCGGAGUCUGUAUCACCCGGUAAUCAAAGUAUCUACUUUGAUUUUAAGUUUUUC
Molecule: non-coding RNA, 104 nt
Filed under: unclassified sequences
Description: RT-5 RNA
Rfam family: RT-5 RNA
About the family: Clostridium (Firmicutes). Environment (Cow rumen (57))
Source: Rfam by way of RNAcentral